Molecule: transfer RNA, 64 nt
Filed under: Cavia porcellus (domestic guinea pig)
Lineage: Eukaryota; Metazoa; Chordata; Mammalia; Rodentia; Caviidae
Rfam family: tRNA
About the family: Transfer RNA (tRNA) molecules are approximately 80 nucleotides in length. Their secondary structure includes four short double-helical elements and three loops (D, anti-codon, and T loops). Further hydrogen bonds mediate the characteristic L-shaped molecular structure. tRNAs have two regions of fundamental functional importance: the anti-codon, which is responsible for specific mRNA codon recognition, and the 3' end, to which the tRNAs corresponding amino acid is attached (by aminoacyl-tRNA synthetases). tRNAs cope with the degeneracy of the genetic code in two manners: having more than one tRNA (with a specific anti-codon) for a particular amino acid; and 'wobble' base-pairing, i.e. permitting non-standard base-pairing at the 3rd anti-codon position.
Source: Rfam by way of RNAcentral
GGGGAUUUAGCUCAGUGGCAUAAGCACCCGUCUGGCAAGCGUGAGGUCAUGGGUUCAAUCCCCA